Molecule: ribosomal RNA, 440 nt
Filed under: uncultured bacterium
Lineage: Bacteria
Description: partial 16S ribosomal RNA
Rfam family: Bacterial small subunit ribosomal RNA
Source: RNAcentral
CCUACGGGUGGCAGCAGUGGGGAAUAUUGCACAAUGGGGGAAACCCUGAUGCAGCGACGCCGCGUGAGCGAUGAAGUAUCUCGGUAUGUAAAGCUCUAUCAGCAGGGAAGAAAAUGACGGUACCUGACUAAGAAGCCCCGGCUAACUACGUGCCAGCAGCCGCGGCAAUACGUAGGGGGCCAGGGUUAUCCGGAUUUACUGGGGGUAAAGGGAGCGUAGAGGGCGGUGCAAGCCAGAUGUGAAAGCCCGGGGCUCAACCCCGGGACUGCAUUUGAAACUGUGGUGCUAGAGUGGCGGAGAGGCAGGCGGAAUUCGUAGUGUAGCGGUGAAAUGCGUAGAUAUUAGGAGGAACACCAGUGGCGAAGGCGGCCUGCUGGACGAUGACUGACGUUGAGGCUCGAAAGCGUGGGGAGCAAACAGGAUUAGAUACCCUAGUAGUC